This 520-nucleotide ribosomal RNA is filed under the name uncultured Glomus. Its description in RNAcentral is "SSU rRNA". It matches the Rfam family "Eukaryotic small subunit ribosomal RNA", at positions 569 to 1092 of the family's 1831-position model. Lineage: Eukaryota; Fungi; Glomeromycota; Glomeromycetes; Glomerales; Glomeraceae. The record is from RNAcentral.
GGCAGCCGCGGUAAUUCCAGCUCCAAUAGCGUAUAUUAAAGUUGUUGCAGUUAAAAAGCUCGUAGUUGAAUUUCGGGAUCAAGGAAUCGGUCAUGCCUUGGUAUGUACUGGUUUUAUUGGUUCUCACCUUCUAAAGAACCAUGAUGUCAUUCAUUUGAUGUUAUGGGGAAUUAGGACUGUUACCUUGAAAAAAUUAGAGUGUUUAAAGCAAGCUCACGCUUGAAUACAUUAGCAUGGAAUAAUGAAAUAGGACGUUUGAUUCUAUUUUGUUGGUUUCUAGGAUCGACGUAAUGAUUAAUAGGGAUAGUUGGGGGCAUUAGUAUUCAAUUGUCAGAGGUGAAAUUCUUGGAUUUAUUGAAGACUAACUACUGCGAAAGCAUUUGCCAAGGAUGUUUUCAUUAAUCAAGAACGAAAGUUAGGGGAUCGAAGACGAUCAGAUACCGUCGUAGUCUUAACCAUAAACUAUGCCGACUAGGGAUCGGAUGAUGUUAAUUUUUAAUGACUCAUUCGGCGCCUUACG